UACGGGGGGGGCAAGCGUUGUUCGGAAUUACUGGGCGUAAAGGGCUCGUAGGCGGCCAACUAAGUCAGACGUGAAAUCCCCAGGCUCAACCUGGGAACUGCGUCUGAUACUGGAUGGCUUGAAUCCGGGAGAGGGAUGCAGAAUUCCAGGUGUAGCGGUGAAAUGCGUAGAUAUCAGGAAGAACACCAAUGGCGAAAGCAGCUCUCUGGGACGGUACUGACGCUGAGACGCGAAAGCGUGGGGAGCGAACAGG
RNAcentral lists this ribosomal RNA (253 nucleotides) under uncultured bacterium. RNAcentral describes it as "partial 16S ribosomal RNA". It matches the Rfam family "Bacterial small subunit ribosomal RNA", at positions 524 to 776 of the family's 1533-position model. The record is from RNAcentral.